Molecule: non-coding RNA, 140 nt
Organism: Methylobacterium tarhaniae
Lineage: Bacteria; Pseudomonadati; Pseudomonadota; Alphaproteobacteria; Hyphomicrobiales; Methylobacteriaceae
Source: Rfam
UCCCCGGUGGAAACCCGGGCCGGCAAACUCUCGCUCCAGCCGGAAGCACUUGGGGCGGGUCAGGAGGCGACGAAUGACCUGAAGCACCCCGAGACACAGCCCCUCCAGGGGGUCAGCGGUCCGCACGGGCCGGAACGUGA